CACUAAGAAGCUAAUAGCAUUAACCUUUUAAGUUAAAGACAGGAUUUCUUAAUUUCCCUUAGUGU
RNAcentral lists this transfer RNA (65 nucleotides) under Paraechinus micropus (Indian hedgehog). Its description in RNAcentral is "tRNA-Lys". RNAcentral also lists the same sequence under 1 other name. Lineage: Eukaryota; Metazoa; Chordata; Mammalia; Eulipotyphla; Erinaceidae. The record is from RNAcentral.